This 253-nucleotide ribosomal RNA is filed under the name uncultured bacterium. Its description in RNAcentral is "partial 16S ribosomal RNA". It matches the Rfam family "Bacterial small subunit ribosomal RNA", at positions 524 to 776 of the family's 1533-position model. The record is from RNAcentral.
UACGUAGGUAGCGAGCGUUGUCCGGAAUAACUGGGCGUAAAGGGAGUGUAGGUGGCAAGAUAAGUGAAUCGUGAAAGACCGGGGCUCAACUUCGGAACUGCGAUUCAUACUGUCUAGCUAGAGUGCAGGAGGGGUAUGUGGAACUCCUAGUGUAGCGGUGGAAUGCGUAGAUAUUAGGAAGAACACCAGAGGCGAAGGCGACAUACUGGACUGUAACUGACACUGAGACUCGAAAGCGUGGGGAUCAAACAGG